RNAcentral lists this long non-coding RNA (299 nucleotides) under Coffea arabica (coffee). Its description in RNAcentral is "long non-coding RNA (CARA_LNC003222)". The record is from RNAcentral. Lineage: Eukaryota; Viridiplantae; Streptophyta; Magnoliopsida; Gentianales; Rubiaceae.
AGUGGAUAAUUUAGAAGGGAUCAUUGGAAGGUGUAAUGUCCAGCGGGUGUAAACAAGCCUCUGAUCAAACCCAAAAGCAAAUAUGUCAUAUGUAAAACUCCCUCUAUUUCUUAAAAAUAUCAUAUCAUUCUCGGCAAUAUAGUUAUCUGAGCAAAAAGUCAUCCAUUCUCCUUCAAAACAACGGUUUCUGAUUUCUAAGUUCCACCGAGCCAAGCCAUGCUGAACAACUAUAGUUUGUCCAUGUUGAAAACGGUUGGAUUCAAACAUAUCAUCGGGUAUUUCCUGGAGAAAGCAAAAAA